RNAcentral lists this ribosomal RNA (253 nucleotides) under uncultured bacterium. RNAcentral's name for it is "partial 16S ribosomal RNA". It matches the Rfam family "Bacterial small subunit ribosomal RNA", at positions 524 to 776 of the family's 1533-position model. The record is from RNAcentral.
UACGGGGGGGGCAAGCGUUGUUCGGAAUUACUGGGCGUAAAGGGUUUGUAGGUGGCCUGCUAAGUCAGACGUGAAAUCCCUCAGCUUAACUGGGGAACUGCGUCUGAGACUGGUAGGCUCGAGGACAGGAGAGGAACGCGGAAUUCCAGGUGUAGCGGUGAAAUGCGUAGAUAUCUGGAGGAACGCCUGAAGCGAAAGCGGCUACCUGGCCCUGUCCUGACACUGAGGUGCGAAAGCGUGGGGAGCGAACCGG